GAUGAACGCUGGCGGCGUGCCUAACACAUGCAAGUCGAACGAAAAGACGAGGAGCUUGUUCUUUUGACGGUAGCGGCGGACGGGCGGGUAACACGUGGAUAAGCUUCUUAUAUUACUUGGAUGACUUCGGGAAACCGGAUAUAAUAAUGGAUAAUAUAAUUUACGGGUUGGUUCAAUAGUGAUUGACGGUUUUGCCGUCUCUUUUAGCCGGUUCCGUGCUGCAUUAGCUAGUUGGUAAGGUAACGGCUUACCAAGGCAACGAUGCGUAGCCGACCUGAGAGGAUGAUCGGCCACACUGGAACUGAGACACGGUCCAGACUCCUACGGGAGGCAGCAGUAGGGAAUCUUGCGCAAUGGGCGAAAGCCUGACGGAGCAACACCGCGUGGGUGAUGAAGGCCUUCGGAUCGUAAAGCCCUGUUAUUGGGGAAGAACAGAUGUGGAAGAAAACAUGGACGUCUUGACGGUACCUAAAGAAAAAGCAACGGCUAACUACGUG
Molecule: ribosomal RNA, 497 nt
Filed under: uncultured bacterium
Lineage: Bacteria
Description: partial 16S ribosomal RNA
Rfam family: Bacterial small subunit ribosomal RNA
Source: RNAcentral